UUCACCCAUUUUUCAGUUUCUCGGCAUUCAGAUACACUCGUCAUUUUGGAAAGAUGCUCAGUAUUGUUAUUGUUUUUUUUUUCCCCACUGCUUUAAUAAUAACACCUUAUCUUCAAGCAGCCUGUCUUCGUCCCAUCAUUGUGCUGAUAAUUUCAAAUCAUUAGAAGACCUGUCUGCUAAUAUUAAUGGCAAGUUUCAGUUCUGUGGAGCUCUUCAUGCUGGAAGAAAUGAGGGUGAAAAAGGGGCAAAAUUGACUUUCCCAGCUACGUUUUGCUGUGAUGUGCUCAAAUUUCUUCUGUGGCACUUGGAAUAAGGACUCAGUAGCCAAGAAAGGAACAGAAAGGAGAAACUGUGAGGAGGAACAGAGAGACUCUGCAGUGGAAAAAUGGAUUUUUAAAUGUUCUUUUUAAUUACCGGUGCAGCCAUUUACCUAAAAAGUGUCCAUGGGAAACAGCCAUUGCCUGGUGUGGGUGGACAGAACAUCACUGCAUAAACAAUUACAGACUGUGCACUGGCCUGCUCGUUCCUCCCUGCCCUCAAAAUUGCCUCUGUUGUUGGAGCUGUCACAGCGCCUGUUCCUGAGCGCCAUGAGCUGUUGGUGAACAUCAUGUAAACGAGGGAAAUGCUCCCUGGAGGUUUUUCACAUGAGCUCUACAAACUCGCUACUCCUCCAGCCCAGCUUUCUUGGUUUUGCUGCCAGCUCCUCUGAGCCUCUACUGCCUUCCUAGACAAAGAGGAAAGUCUGAAACCAGACGUAGCAUCCUUCAGCUGUUGCUUCAGCACAGGUUUAUGAAUGACCCAGUGGUAGCUUAGUGUUGAGAAGCGACUGGGAGGAGCCACAGCGAAAAUCCCUUGGCAGACGAGUGAGCUGAUCCUUCGCAAAUAGCAGUGUUUGCUAAUUUUCACCCUAAAAUGAAAACAAAACAGAAGCAGUGCAUCCAGUGUCCAAUGCAUGUGGGCAGCAGCUUGGGGUAAAAUGCCCUCUUGUCACCUACUGAGCAGCAGUGGAAAGGCUCGUCAGCGCUGCAUUCCCAAGACAUCCAGAGGAACAGUUGCUGCCAGACUGCCCAGAGGGUUGCACAGCAUCCCGGGGGUCCAGCUGCACCUCAUCCCUGCCUUCAGACACCUGUGCUCCAGGGAAACCAGGGGCUGUCAGGGCACCACGGGCACCAGCCUGGCCAGAGAGGAUGGGCUCCUAAAAGCUUAGGAAUUCUGGCUGAUCGGACAGCCAGAAGAUCCAUCGGAGCUGUACCAUGUGCCAACGGACUGCGGCUUCUGGUAGGGUUGGUAGGGGCAGAUUGAUUUCUCUUCCAUUAAAAAAUUGACCUUGGAAUUUAGAUUUUUUUUUUUUUUUCCUGGAUUCAUGCUCCUCAUUGGGUAAAUACAUUUUGAAGGCACGGAUAUUUGACAAAAUUUGCUUUCCAACACUACAAAAAUUAAAGGAGCUGAAGGUGUUUUGGUACUUCUAAUUUAAUCUUGCACAAGAUGCAGAUGUUCUUCUUCUUGUUUCUAACAGAUUUUAUUAAAGGAAGAAUUUAAAGAAAGGCUUUAUAGUUACUCUAGUACAGCAGCUGCCGUAAGUUUGGCUGGUUAUUGAAACUUGUGAUUAAAACAAUAACUGCUUUCCUGUGAUUUCCUGGAGAUGUGAGGCUGGAAGGGAAGGCUGCAAAGGUGUGAUCAGACCUGCCUCACAGCAUGGACCAAAGGAUAUCUCCUAAUAAUCUCUGCAGGAAAGCAAAAUUUCUGUUUUAGCUGGGGAAUUUAUCUUAGAAGGGUUUUUAGUGUGCUAGUAAUAAUACAAGAUAUGAAUUUUGUUCCCUAGAGUGGAACACUCAAAUACAGAACUCUGGUUUCUCGGAAUACUAAUGCAAAGCAGGGAGAGAAAAGUACGCAAAGUAAGUAUAAGACCUAAUUUAAUUCAGUUAGAGGAGACUACAUUUAAGCACAGAGGCGGGGUUGUUGGAAUUGAUAGAAUUAUUGUGAUUCUGAAUCAUGUAUUCUUCCGGGUCCAGCUGAGUGGGGUUUGGGUGGUUGAUUUAGAAAUAGCUUCUUCAUGCGAGUAGGACACAAGCAAAAGGGAAUAAUCUGAAUUAUGUUUUGGAGUGGAAUAGUUGCUUUGCACUAAUCUUUCCUCUGAUGCUCUCAAACUCAGUUAACUGAAAUUUAAUUCCGUUGGUGUCGAUUCACUCUGUCGGUCCAGCAGCCCAAAGAUGGGGUGAUUUCCCCAGCCUGGUGAGAUCUGCUGCUCAGCCUCAACUAAAAGCCAUUGGGAUAAGACCAUUGUCAGUGGCCCACUUGCUCUCCAGCAUCUACUUCACAAAGGCUCCUCUGCAAUAGUUUAUGUGGAUCUUUCAGCUGGUGGUAUUAAAAUGAUGACUUUAAAACACCAUUUUAAACAUUGCAUUCAGAAUUGGAAAUAAAAGGGAGGCAGCAUUUAAAGGAAAUCGGGAAACUUUUCUGGUACUUCAGAUGUUUUGCUUUUAUUUUGGGAAAAGAGCAAUAAUUAGUUUUUCAAAGCCUUCUUUCUCUGACUGCUACUGCACCCCAGAAAAACCAAACCAAAUAUCUCUUGUCUGGGACUGUCUGAUUCUCUGAAUUUUGAUAUGUUGACAUCAAUAUUCUGAGUUAGAUAUUAAUGUUAACAUCUUAGCAAUAAUUAAAUGGGGACACAGAUAACCUGUGUUUUUUCUGUUGCAUCUUGAAGUGGACACUUCUCAUUUGAUUUAAUUUUUGACUGGAGUUGUACUGCUUGGGAGAGGUAAUGUGCAUCGUUCUUAAACUAAUGGCAGAAUAAAUAAAACUAACUAAUUACACAA
Hirundo rustica (Barn swallow) is the source of this 2816-nucleotide long non-coding RNA. RefSeq lists it as uncharacterized. The transcript has 5 exons. Lineage: Eukaryota; Metazoa; Chordata; Aves; Passeriformes; Hirundinidae. The record is from RefSeq and is a predicted model, not a curated record.